UACAGAGGUGGCAAGCGUUGUUCGGAAUUACUGGGCGUAAAGGGCGCGUAGGCGGUCUUGUAAGUCUCGUGUGAAAUCCCUCGGCUUAACUGAGGAACUGCACGGGAUACUGCAUGACUUGAGGUCGGGAGAGGGAAGCGGAAUUCCGGGUGUAGCGGUGAAAUGCGUAGAUAUCCGGAGGAACACCGGUGGCGAAGGCGGCUUCCUGGACCGACUCUGACGCUGAGGCGCGAAAGCGUGGGGAGCGAACAGG
RNAcentral lists this ribosomal RNA (253 nucleotides) under uncultured bacterium. Its description in RNAcentral is "partial 16S ribosomal RNA". It matches the Rfam family "Bacterial small subunit ribosomal RNA", at positions 524 to 776 of the family's 1533-position model. The record is from RNAcentral.